GCGUAAUUCCAGCUCCCAUAGCGUAUAUUAAAAGUGUUGCCAGUAAAAAGCUCGUAGUUGAAUUUCUGGUGGAGUCGGUCUGUCCUUCACUUGGUGUUGGUUCGUGACUGCAUCUCUGCCCUCCUUGGUCGGAGCCCAGUUUGGCAUUUAGUUGUCGGGCUGGGGACGAUCAUCGUUUACUGUGAAGAAAUUAGAGUGUUCAAAGCAGGCUUAGGCCUUGAAUACAUUAGCAUGGAAUAAUGAAAUAGGGUUUUGGCACUAUUUUGUUGGUUUGCGCGCCGAAACAAUGAUUAAUAGGGACAGUUUGGGGAUAUUCGUAUUCAAUUGUCAGAGGUGAAAUUCUUGGAUUUCUGGAAGACGAACGACUGCGAAAGCAUUUAUCAGGGAUGUUUUCAUUAAUCAAGAACGAAAGUUAGGGGAUCGAAGAUGAUUAGAUACCAUCGUAGUCUUAACCAUAAACCAUGCCGACUAGGGAUUUGCGGUUGUUCUUGUAGACUCCGUAAGCACCUUAUGAGAAAUCAAAGUGUUUGGGUUCCGGGGGGAGUAUGGUCGCAAGGCUGAAACUUAAAGAAAUUGACGGAAGGNNCCNCCAG
RNAcentral lists this ribosomal RNA (593 nucleotides) under uncultured eukaryote. RNAcentral's name for it is "SSU rRNA". It matches the Rfam family "Eukaryotic small subunit ribosomal RNA", at positions 576 to 1173 of the family's 1831-position model. The record is from RNAcentral.